AAUUCCAGCUCCAAUAGCGUAUAUUAAAAUUGUUGCAGUUAAAAAGCUCGUAGUUGAAUUUCUGCUGCAUCGCUGUGUCCCUUCGGGGUCUCUGCAUGUGGCUUAUUUCAGACGGAGUUUACUUUGUCUGGAUGUUUACUUUGAGAAAAUUAGAGUGCUCAAAGCAGGCUUUUGCCUUGAAUAGUUUAGCAUGGAAUAAUAAAGUAGGACUUUGGUUCUAUUUUGUUGGUUUUAGGUACCAAAGUAAUGGUUAAUAGGAACAGUUGGGGGCAUUCGUAUUUAACUGUCAGAGGUGAAAUUCUUAGAUUUGUUAAAGACGAACUACUGCGAAAGCAUUUGCCAAGGAUGUUUUCAUUAAUCAAGAACGAAAGUUAGGGGAUCGAAGACGAUCAGAUACCGUCGUAGUCCUAACCAUAAACAAUGCCGACUAGAGAUUGGAGGUCGUCAGUUUUUACGACUCCUUCAGCAC
Molecule: ribosomal RNA, 469 nt
Filed under: uncultured Theileria sp.
Lineage: Eukaryota; Apicomplexa; Aconoidasida; Piroplasmida; Theileriidae
Description: SSU rRNA
Rfam family: Eukaryotic small subunit ribosomal RNA
Source: RNAcentral